AUUGAACGCUGGCGGCAGGCUUAACACAUGCAAGUCGAAACGAUGAAACCUAGCUUGCUAGGUGGAAUAGUGGCGGACGGGUGAGUAACACUUAGGAAUCUACCUAAUAGCGGGGGAUAGCCCGGGGAAACUCGGAAUAAUACCGCAUAUUUUUACGGAAGAAAGGGGGCAGAAUACUGCUCUCACUAUUAGAUGAGCCUAAGCAGGAUUAGCCAGAUGGUGGGGUAACGGCCUACCAUAGCGACGAUCCUUAGCUGGUCUGAGAGGAUGAUCAGCCACACUGGGACUGAGACACGGCCCAGACUCCUACGGGAGGCAGCAGUGGGGAAUAUUGGACAAUGGGGGGAACCCUGAUCCAGCCAUGCCGCGUGUGUGAAGAAGGCCUUUUGGUUGUAAAGCACUUUAAGUAGCGAAGAAGACCCCAUGGUUAAUACCCAUGGGCGAUGACAUUAACUACAGAAUAAGCACCGGCUAACUCUGUGCCAGCAGCCGCGGUAAUACAGAGGGUGCAAGCGUUAAUCGGAAUUACUGGGCGUAAAGCGAACGUAGGUGGUUAAAUAAGUCAGAUGUGAAAUCCCCGAGCUUAACUUGGGAACUGCAUCUGAAACUGUAUAACUAGAGUAGGUGAGAGGAAAGUAGAAUUCCAGGUGUAGCGGUGAAAUGCGUAGAGAUCUGGAGGAAUACCGAUGGCGAAGGCAGCUUUCUGGCAUCAUACUGACACUGAGGUUCGAAAGCGUGGGUAGCAAACAGG
Molecule: ribosomal RNA, 751 nt
Filed under: uncultured bacterium
Lineage: Bacteria
Description: bacterial SSU rRNA
Rfam family: Bacterial small subunit ribosomal RNA
Source: RNAcentral